GGUAGCGUAGCUCAAUUGGCAGAGCGGGUCUUCCGUUGCGGUUCCUUAUCUGGUGGAAGCCGGGUCGUUCGCUGACGGUUAUCGCCUUUUAAGCGCCAUGUUGCAGGUUCGAGUCCUGUCGUUACCC
Molecule: transfer RNA, 127 nt
Filed under: Chthonomonadaceae bacterium
Lineage: Bacteria; Bacillati; Armatimonadota; Chthonomonadia; Chthonomonadales; Chthonomonadaceae
Rfam family: tRNA
About the family: Transfer RNA (tRNA) molecules are approximately 80 nucleotides in length.
Source: Rfam by way of RNAcentral